GAUCAUGGCUCAGGAUGAACGCUAGCGGCAGGCUUAACACAUGCAAGUCGAGGGGCAGCAUAAUGGAUAGCAAUAUCUAUGGUGGCGACCGGCGCACGGGUGCGUAACGCGUAUGCAACCUACCUUUAACAGGGGGGAUAACACUGAGAAAUUGGUACUAAUACCCCCAUAAUAUCAUAGAAGGCACCUUUUAUGGUUUGAAAAUUCCGAUGGUUAGAGAUGGGCAUGCGUUGUAUUAG
Molecule: ribosomal RNA, 239 nt
Filed under: uncultured bacterium
Lineage: Bacteria
Description: partial 16S ribosomal RNA
Rfam family: Bacterial small subunit ribosomal RNA
Source: RNAcentral